CACCCACCUUUAGAGAUGAGACACAAGCAGGAGAAGAGGGAUUAAACCUGCUAGUUUUGGAAAAAAAAAAAAAAAGGAAAGAAAAGAAAAGAAAGAAAGAAAAACAAAAAACAACAACAAACAGAAAAAUGCAAAACUGCAGAACACGCAGUGGAGCUGGACUCCCUCCCUAUUCCACCAGACCAGUGCCCAAAGUUGGAGAAUAACUAGAAACCAGGCUUCAGAUGUCUUGGGUACCAGUUAUAAAGAUUCAGAAUCAGUAUGCAACUGAGGAUUCACUGCAAUUGUUCCUUGAGAAGAUGAGGAUCAGGUCGGGAAUUGGAAACAUCUGAGGGCUCAAUUCAACCUGGCUUCUAAAACGAACAUGGUGAACAUAGAUCAACUACUGAACUUCUUUUAACCUCUGGCAUCCUAUCUGUGAAUUGUGGGGAGGAAACAGGGUCCACCCGCUGCUGCACAAGAGGGGUGUGUGCAGACCGUCACCUUGUGUCUGCUGUAGCAGGAGACCCCUGGCCAUGCGGGACUGAACCCAUGAUUGCAGCUGAUCUUACUCUGUCUCUUCUCUGUGUGAGUAAAGUGUUGUUCCAUCUAGUGCCUGUGUGAGUCGUGUCUUUCGUGGCGACACCUAUAAACCAUGGAGUGGGCUGACAUCCUGGUUCUGCUGCUCCUGGUGGCGGGCAUUGUUGUGCUGUUUGCCGUCCUCUACACAGUGCGAAUCUUCUCUACCCUGCCCGAGUCUCGGCAUCUCCACAUGUGCCAUGAGGAUGGUAAUGCUUUACAGAACUGAAGACUCACAUCAAAAUGCUGCCUGCUUCCAUGAGGCUUGUAGUGACAUCCAUGUACAAGUUCAAAGACCCUCUGAGCCAAUUUCCACUUCUCUGCAUGUCUCUGGGGACCUAGGGGACCAGGAUUACUAUAAAAGCAGAGCACAAGAAGGCUGACCUUGAACUCCUCAAGAUGCUUGCUCCUGGGAUUCUCCAGCUGCAAUCAGCAUCCCCCACCCCCACUUGCCUGCGGUUGCUACAUGGGUCAGACAGCAAGGACCACAGGGGCACUAAGUUUGCUGCUGACUCUUGACCUCAGAUGGGCUAUUUGGCCAAGGGCCCAGCUCUCCCUCCAAUGUAGAGGAGGCAGGGAGGCAGGAGCCAGCAAGAAGUUCCUCCAGGCAAAGGGAAAGUGGCAAAGAUACUCAAGAGCUCACAGCUAUUCCAUCCUCUACACCCUGGGAGACUCUGACUGGGGCCUGGAUCUGGCCAGAAAGUAGACCUGUCAGUAUCCUGGAGACCAGAUACAGGAAGCUUAUUACUGAGCUCUCCAAAGCCUGAUGCCCGGAAGCAGCAUCAGCUCACUGGGUUGGCUUGGAGGAGCAGGACUCUUGCGGCCUUUGCCCUUUGUCUUUGGGACCUCCUCUAGGGGGCAGGAGACAGGUGGAGGAUCUUACUUCCUCUGGGUCUGAAACUUUCAUUCACCCAAUGAAAUGGGGAGGCGCUAUACUCGCAUGGGGUAAACCCCUGACCCCUACCCAAACUCACCAGGCUGGUAUGGUCAUAAACACACAACACCCAGAGGCAGGAGGUCCAGGACAUUUCUCCCACGACCCCUUAUUCCCACCUCAACUCCUCCCUAUCCUGCCCCGUGCCCUAUUCUCUUCUUCUCCCAGCCUUUCAAAGGCAGAGUGACCCUGCAAACCCUCUCCUCUGCUGUCUUCAGUCCUUGACCAAGCUGGAGGCAGCACUGAUGGGAAUUGUUCCUGCCCCUCAUGGGCAGAGCCUGCAGACUCAGGAUGCUGCUCCACUAGCCAAGCAGCUCUUUCCACUAAUAGAUUGUGUAGAAAAACAUUUGGCCAAGAUAGGAAGGAGUCAGUGAGGUCAAGGUUAUGGGGGCAAUUCCUUUGUGAGAGGAUCUGAGAAAGACAAUUCUACAACCUGAACACACAUGGAAAUCUGGCCCUGGCCACAGCCUGGUCUUGACUACAGAGUUUUAAAUUGAGUCCUGAAAAACAUAUGCAGCAACUUUGCUUCGUAGGUGAGAAAUUAAGCUCCAGAGAGGGGCAGCAGCUUACUUAAAGUCACACAGCAAAUCAAAGGAAUACCUGUAACUAGAAUCCAGUCUCCUGCCUCCUAUCCUGGUUAUCUUUAGAUGGCAGCAAAAGGCGAUGUUUUAAAAGCCAGAUUUUGAGGAAAAGAGGAGUGCCCAGGUUAGCUAGUUUGAUGAAGGAGCCCUGGAAGGUCUUAUUUCCUGGUGCAUAGGUAUUCUUUUGUUUUCCUCCUCUUUCCUUCCGGGGCUGGGCCAAAUGAAGGCUAGAAAGUGGCAGAUUC
Homo sapiens (human) is the source of this 2318-nucleotide long non-coding RNA. RefSeq annotates it as TBC1D21 divergent transcript. The record is from RefSeq and is a predicted model, not a curated record. NCBI's taxonomy places the organism in Eukaryota, Metazoa, Chordata, Mammalia, Primates, Hominidae. The transcript is spliced from 7 exons.